AUACGGAGGAUCCGAGCGUUAUCCGGACUUAUUGGGUUUAAAGGGUGCGCAGGCGGCCAUUUAAGUCAGCGGUUAAAUCUUGGGGCUCAACCCCAUUCUGCCGUUGAUACUGGGUGGCUUGAUUGCGGUCGAGGUUGGCGGAAUUCGUUGUGUAGCGGUGAAAUGCAUAGAUAUGACGAAGAACACCGAUUGCGUAGGCAGCUGACCAGACCGUAAAUGACGCUCAUGCACGAAAGUGCGGGGAUCGAACAGGAUUAGAUACCCUGGUAGUCCGCACAGUAAACGAUGAAUACUUGUUUUCGGCGAUAUAAUGUCGGAGGCAAAGCGAAAGCGAUAAGUAUUCCACCUGGGGAGUUCGCCGGCAACGGUGAAACUCAAAUGAAUUGACUGGG
Molecule: ribosomal RNA, 392 nt
Filed under: uncultured bacterium
Lineage: Bacteria
Description: partial 16S ribosomal RNA
Rfam family: Bacterial small subunit ribosomal RNA
Source: RNAcentral